This 375-nucleotide long non-coding RNA is filed under the name Ictidomys tridecemlineatus (thirteen-lined ground squirrel). RNAcentral describes it as "lncRNA (ENSSTOG00000031650.1)". The record is from RNAcentral. Lineage: Eukaryota; Metazoa; Chordata; Mammalia; Rodentia; Sciuridae.
CAGAGGAGCAACAUCACCCGUUAGGGAAAGAAAAGAAUCAAUCCGGGGCAGAGGAGCCAGAGUACCUUAAUUAAGUGCCUGACACUGUGGGAUGUCUUCUUAGUGAGUCUAUGCCCAGUUAGUCUAUGUGGAUUGAUUUUGUGAUUACAUCUUGAAGUCCAGCCGCCAGGAGCCUUGAUAAAAUCUUUACAUCUACAUUAAUCAGGGAAACCAGGCCCAGAUCCAAAUGGUCCUCAGGCAGAGAGAAACCGAAGCUGAAAGCUGAGAACCAUCAAUCUCCAAAGCUGAGCUUUUUCAGAUGCUUUCUGAAAAUUGAGUAUGCUCAUGAUGUCCAGUGCAUCCCGUGAUUUCUAAAGGCUGGGGACUCAGGGAAUG